This 463-nucleotide long non-coding RNA is filed under the name Vigna radiata. RNAcentral's name for it is "long non-coding RNA (VRAD_LNC000628)". Lineage: Eukaryota; Viridiplantae; Streptophyta; Magnoliopsida; Fabales; Fabaceae. The record is from RNAcentral.
GAGUCGCUAGGGUGGAGAUGAAGGAGGUGAAGGCGGAGGUGACGAUGGAGUCGCAAAGGAUAAAAAAAAACAACGUGGCAGAGAGUGAAGAGGGGAGGUGGCAUAAGACGUGGCCUUGUCGUUUGCAAUAUCUGACAAAAAUUAACGUCGUCUAAUUUUAAGAACUAAUAGUAAGAGUUUCAAAACUACGAGGACAAAAAACCAUCAAAGUUUCAAGUAGGGAAUAAAACCAAAAUCGUGUGAUACUUAAAGGAUGAAAAACAUAUUUAACCCUAAACUUUUUAGUUACUAAGCCCACCAUCCUUUCCAUCACAUUUUUUUACAAUAAAGAACUAGGAAUGGGCAAAUGGAACUGAAUUAGUUCUAAAAUAUGAUUUUAACACUAUCUAAUAACAAAAUAACGGUUAACUAUGCAGGAUUAUAUAAUUUACUGAACUAAGGGAAAUGUAACAAAAGUUAUCUC